This 446-nucleotide ribosomal RNA is filed under the name uncultured bacterium. RNAcentral's name for it is "partial 16S ribosomal RNA". It matches the Rfam family "Bacterial small subunit ribosomal RNA", at positions 338 to 795 of the family's 1533-position model. The record is from RNAcentral.
CCUACGGGUGGCAGCAGUCGAGAAUCAUUCACAAUGGGGGAAACCCUGAUGGUGCGACGCCGCGUGGGGGAAUGAAGGUCUUCGGAUUGUAAACCCCUGUCAUGUGGGAGCAAAUUAAAAAGAUAGUACCACAAGAGGAAGAGACGGCUAACUCUGUGCCAGCAGCCGCGGUAAUACAGAGGUCUCAAGCGUUGUUCGGAAUCACUGGGCGUAAGGCGUGCGUAGGCGGUUUCGUAAGUCGUGUGUGAAAGGCGCGGGCUCAACCCGCGGACGGCACAUGAUACUGCGAGACUAGAGUAAUGGAGGGGGAACCGGAAUUCUCGGUGUAGCAGUGAAAUGCGUAGAGAUCGAGAGGAACACUCGUGGCGAAGGCGGGUUCCUGGACAUUAACUGACGCUGAGGCACGAAGGCCAGGGGAGCGAAAGGGAUUAGAUACCCCUGUAGUC